This 387-nucleotide ribosomal RNA is filed under the name uncultured bacterium. Its description in RNAcentral is "bacterial SSU rRNA". It matches the Rfam family "Bacterial small subunit ribosomal RNA", at positions 30 to 419 of the family's 1533-position model. The record is from RNAcentral.
AUUGAACGCUGGCGGCAUGCCUUACACAUGCAAGUCGAACGGUAACGGGCCUUCGGGUGCCGACGAGUGGCGAACGGGUGAGUAAUGCAUCGGAACGUACCUUUCAGUGGGGGAUAACGUAGCGAAAGUUACGCUAAUACCGCAUAUUCUGUGAGCAGGAAAGCAGGGAUCGCAAGACCUUGCGCUGAUUGAGCGGCCGAUGUCAGAUUAGCUAGUUGGUGAGGUAAAGGCUCACCAAGGCGACGAUCUGUAGCGGGUCUGAGAGGAUGAUCGCCACACUGGAACUGAGACACGGUCCAGACUCCUACGGAGGCAGCAGUGGGGAAUUUUGGACAAAUGGGGGCGAACCCCUGAUCCAGCCAUGCCGCGUGAGUGAAGAAAGGCCUC